RNAcentral lists this long non-coding RNA (290 nucleotides) under Helianthus annuus (common sunflower). RNAcentral's name for it is "hypothetical non coding rna". Lineage: Eukaryota; Viridiplantae; Streptophyta; Magnoliopsida; Asterales; Asteraceae. The record is from RNAcentral.
GAAGGCAGGAAAGGAGAAACCCUUCUCCUUCAAUUGAGUUCAAGAAAUUCAGCCAAUUGAAGCCCUAAUCGUAGUUGUACUCAUGCAUGUCAAUGAUUUCUUGGUCAUCUAGCCCUAAUAAAUACAUGGAACCACACUAGCAUGGACCAAGCAUGGAAGGCUAACGGGUCAAGAUGAGGCAAGGAAGCGGGUAUGAACACGGAUGCACAAGGAACGAGUACAUCGGAUUCUUACGAAAUUUAAGCCCAACCCGGAAUAAGAGGAUGAGUAAGGAUAGUUGGAUGAACUAA